Molecule: long non-coding RNA, 31290 nt
Filed under: Phoenix dactylifera (date palm)
Lineage: Eukaryota; Viridiplantae; Streptophyta; Magnoliopsida; Arecales; Arecaceae
Description: long non-coding RNA (PDAC_LNC002818)
Source: RNAcentral
AACUUGAAAAUUGUUAUUAUCUUAUUAGCUGUGCAAGACAUUCUUCAAUUUGGAAAGGAUUUUCAAAUUUAUAUGAACUUUAUUGUGGUGGAACAUAAUAAAUUGCAUAAAGAGAUGAGAAGAAUGGCUAGGACCAUAUUUUAGCACAAUUUAAGAGUCUAUUCAGCUUUUGCACCACUGAAUGUCCUUCUCGAUGUUCACUUUCCCAUUUGGGUUGCCUAUGUAACGGUUUUAUCUUAUAUAGGUGGAACAAUGAUUGCUGAUUCAGCAAUAUGACCUUCAUAACCUGCAUAUCUUUGUUUUGUCAAUGUUUGUUGCAAGGAUUAUACCUCAGUGGUAUCAGAACUAGGAUUUCUAGCAUUAAUGAAUACUUGAUUUUACAGCAACAUAGUUCACCCAAGGUUGAAUUGUAUUUUUCACUAGAGUGGGGCUGUUCACAGUGUAUAUAUUUCUAGUUUAGAGGUCUUGGAAACAAUAAGUUUUUUUAAACAUAUAGAUUUGCUGAUGAACACUUGGGUCUUCCCCCGAACUUUCUGGCACCUAGCUGGGGUCUAUGGGUGUUCUCUGCAUGAUUUCUGCAAUCUGUCUUCUUAUCAUUAUUGCUCAUUCUUUUUCUUAUGAUAAUUGUUUUUUUGCCCUUCCACCAUGAAAAUACGACUGGUGCCUAUUAAUGAGCAUAUAGCUUCUUAUGGAGGUAGAAAAUUGAACAUAGCAUGGCGUUAAUUAUAAAUUUGUAGGACUUAACAUAUCUGAUAAAGUUUUUUGUUAAUUUUGAAAAGCUACCUCUUAGUUCUAUUUUUCUUUUUUUUAUGCUUCUCUGUUGCUUGUAUAUGAAAGGAAAUAAAGAUACUAAAAUCACCUUGUCAUUAAUAGUUUCGACAAUCUAUAUUUCAACCUGUUGUAUUGUCAGUUCUUCUCCAUGGAUGAAUCUGCUAAAACCUUGCAGGACUUAGUGGUGGGCUAUAUGGGUGUGCCAAAAUAUUCCGGAUUAAGCAUGACUGAACACCCACAGUAUAUCACCGUCAGGUAAUGUAAAUAUUCUUCUCCUUCUGCUUUUUUCACCGUGACAGUGUUACAAAAACUAAAGAACAGUCUUGAGAUGGAUGAGUUAGAUAAUUCAGUAAGUUUUUUAUACUACAUUCUAAUAGAGUUUCCUUUUACAAAUAAAUUCCACAACUGGGGCUGUAUGUGUUGGGAUUAUAUUUUUUGGAUAAUAAGCUAUUAAGCCGCUAGCCACCCCCCAUUCACAGUUUGGAGCCUUAAAUGGCAGGAAUGAACGAGGAAGGGAGAUGCUUAGUCUGGUAGAAAAUCUUUUGGAGAUCACUCCUACAAGAAGCAGUGUAUGCCAGAUAAUUAUUUUGGUUAUGGUUGUGAAUUUUGGGAGAAACUACAUCACAUCAUAACCUCAAGCUGGCAGCUGAGUUCAAAUUUCACUGUUUAUAUCAGGGUAACAGAUGGCCAUUUGUCCUGGAGACUGUUAAAGCUGAUGAUAAGGCGAAAUUAGGUAUGCUUAUUGCUCACUGUGUUGUUAUCCUUUUACACUUCACUAUAAUGAUAACGAACAAAUGACAGUGUGCUUUUAUAUACUGUUACAUUGCUAUGUUUAACAGAGUUCCAGUUAGAUUAAAGUUCCAAUACUGUACAAAUCUCCAGGAGAAGAAUCUGAAAAUCAGCUUUUGAUGUUCUAGUUUAUCUUUUUACUGUUUUCAGGCAAAGGUCCUUCUCAGCCGGCUCCUAGUUUGAUUGGUAACAUUAUAGCAUUUCUUCUAAACUUGGUAAGUUCGGCUUUACAAGCAUCGCAAUCAUUUUGGGAACCCAAGUGAUGCAAGUAGUCUGAAGCUAACAAUGUCAAAUGACCUGAUGCAGGUUGGUCCAAAAGGUCUGGAAUUUGCUCGCUAUUCAUUGGAUUACCAUACAAUAAGGAACUACUUGUAUGUAAAUCGACAGUGGGGAAAACAAAGGUAUAAUCUCUUUUUAUGGUUGCACUCUUUAUUUCUGAUGAAGUAGCUUCUGAUCUGUCAGUCCAAAUAGUCUCUGAUUGGUCAGUGUAACUUUGAUGCUGGCAGAGCUGACAGGCACAUUCCCUCGUAUGCAAAGAGGAUUGUGGAAACUUAUGACACAGAUGGGCGUAUUAAUAUGAUGCUUUCGCAAGAUUGAUUUCUCACUCUAUAGGUACUCGUCUUCUCUCCAACCAGCUGGUAGUUAGUGCAAAUAAUGAUUGGGAAUAUGGAAUCCUUACUUUAUUGAAAAUUAAGUUGUAUCAUAAUUUCUAGCUUAUUCAUUCCUUAUCAGUUCAAUGAGGACUGCGGUAUUCUUGGGUGCCCUUAAAAGUCUCUGCAUUCAUAGUAUCCAGUUUGCAUGUCUUCAUAGAUGAGGCCUACGUUUUUAUACUGUUGCAAACUGGUUUGACCUUGAUUAAGUAUUUUGGUGAAAGAGUUGAGAUUCCUAACUCAAAUUCAUUAAGCUAUAAAGUGUAAAACUGGUACAAGAGCAAAGAGGGUAAAGGGAAGAAAGAGAGGGGAGAUAGGAGUAGAAUACAAAGUAGAGGUGAUCCUGAUCAAAAUUGUAAGCAGGGUUCGAAUCUAUGGCUGUGGCUGUUAGUGGCCUAUUUUUGUUUCAGAUAUGAAAUAUCUUUUUGAUGUUGAUUUCAUAUGAAGCACCGAGCAGGGAGUUUUGUUACAACCUAUAUAGCAUCUUAAAUUUAAAAAAGUAAGGAUCAAAAGCAAGAUAUGCUGUCUCAAUACCGGACUCUGUAUCGGUGCCAUUCUAUAACCGUAUCGGUACACGGUACAUCUAGUACAAAGGCUAAUUCGGCAUACCGGUUGUCGGUAUACCUUCUAUACUACAUAUUGGUAUUGAACAGAUACAGUAUGGUACGUUUUAUACCAUUUGAUUCGGGACGGUAUGGCAUAAUUUGAUUAAAAGAUUGUUGCUUGUUUUUUUUUUUAAAUAAACAAAAUACAAACACUUUGUUGCUGAACCUUGGCUUAAAUUGCUUUGACAUUUUCAUUCAGCUCCAUGAACAAAAGCUUACUCCAUCUUCAAUGUAGUCCGGUGAUUGAAUCUUCAUGUGAUUGCUUAUUAGUUGAAAUGAUUGCAUCUUACUGCCAUAUACUGUUUGUAUCUUGAUUCCAGAUUGCCAGCCACGGAAAUACAAAGUGUUGAUUCUCCAUGCAAUUUUUAAAACCAACAAAAAUAUAUCUGUAUGAGUAGAAAUCAUGUGGUGAGCAUUACGUAUACGAGCGGACAUACACCAAGGAAGAAAAAAUUUGGCAGAGAUCUGACUUUAGUGCUACAGGCACGUGGAACAAAGGUAUAGCGGCGUGCGAUGCUGUAAGAGGUCAAAUUGCAAACCAUAUCGCUUGCAAUCCCAAACACAUGCUCCGGAUGGAGAACUCAUGGAGCAGAGGAUUGAUCGAGUCAGAGGAUCAUUAUGGAGCAGGAGACGAUCAACGAUAAAAGGGCACCGAGCGGACAAAGGGUGCCUAGAAAAAGAAAGACAAUGCCAAAAACGAAACGGACGUCAAAAGUGCCCCUUAAUGUGACCGUAUGGAAAAGAGAGAAGAAGCUCAUUAAUGUCGUAUGAGUUUCUUGGUACGUGGAUCCUUUUCGCAGCCCAUGCACGACUGCAAUCGUCACACCACCCAGGUACAGAUCCCGGUCCGCAACGGACGCGAACACCUCCAAACCAGGGUGAUCAGGUGGCUGCAAUGCCUGGCCGGAGGACACCCAUCCCUUGCAAGCAGGCCUGCAGCUGAUUCCCACCCCUCUCUGUGGCCUUUCGGUCACCCCAGCCGCCAACUCCGAGUUGCGAGACCUGUGGGCGCUUGGUCCAGCCCGCCCAGAAUUGGAGCACAUUUCAUUCGUUGCACGCCGCCACAUGGCCCCAAGAAUUCUACCUGGGUAAACGCCCUGGCGCCACGUCUCCGUGCCCCUCCCCCGGGCAGGGCCCUGACUCGUGGAGCCCACUUCCUCCCGACGUGUGGCCGGUCCCAGCCUCGUGUCGCCCUCUUCUCCCUCGCUCAUUAUGGCUACCCUCCUCUUGCCUACUUGGCGUCCUCCCGUGCCACCCCGCUGACCCCAAGCCCACCCCAUUCCGGGACAGGAUAAGGACCCCCCCGGCUCCUUUAGUAUCCCCCCGUGCCACCCUCCCUUCACUCCAACCCCCCACUGUGGAUCAUCGUAUGGUUUGUGCUGCUCCCAUGGGACCUGAAGAGAAGAAGCACAAGAAGUGCUGCCCUCUCAGGAGGUCGAGGAAAGGCUGCAUGAAAGGCAAGGGUGGGCCUGAGAACCAGGCCUGCGCCUUCAGAGGCGUGAGGCAGAGAACCUGGGGGAAGUGGGUCGCCGAGAUCCGCGAGCCAAACCGUGGCGCCCGCCUCUGGCUCGGGACCUUCAACACCUCCCUCGAGGCCGCCCAGGCCUACGACGCCGCCGCCCGCAGCCUCUACGGCGAGUGCGCGCGGCUCAAUCUCCCCGAUUCGUCCUCUGUCAGAUCGGCAUCGACCACGCCGGUGUCGAUCAAGUCGGACUCUCCGAGCCAGUCGCCCGCUACCAGUACCAGCGAGUCGAGGGUGAGCUUCCCUGAUAGCACCAUGGAGUCGCCCACCUAUUUCUACAACGGCGGCGGUGGCGGCCUUAAUGAUUUAGAUGAUUAUGUCACGAGGUUGCCAAAGGCUGAGGAUUUUGGGCUGGAGGCUUUCCAGGAUGUGCCGCUCUUCGAUGAUGUCGGAUAUUCGAAUCCAGGCUUUGACGGGGAGCUGAUGAAUUUUGAUGCUUUGCAACUGUCUUGGUGUCCUUGAGCAGCUUGAUCUAUGGUAGAUGGUGUGUUUGUGUGUAUGCGUGCCUGUCUGUGAAUCUUUGUGGAUCGUUAGGGAUUUCUAUAGCAUAUAUAUAUAUAAGCCUGUGGGAUGAUGUAAAUUAGCAUGUCGUAAAGUGUCGUAAACAGUCAUCAGUCACCAGCAUCCCUUUUAUUUGGCGAUGCCCCUCUGGUGAUUGUUCCUUCUAUAGAUAUAGACGACUACACUUUUCUAUAAUAUGGUCUUUCAUGAGCAUUCUUGCAAUCAAACUUCUAAUUGUUGUUGCUAAUCGGUGAGAGAGAACUCUGACCGAUUUGGAUUCCCCNNNNNNNNNNNNNNNNNNNNNNNNNNNNNNNNNNNNNNNNNNNNNNNNNNNNNNNNNNNNNNNNNNNNNNNNNNNNNNNNNNNNNNNNNNNNNNNNNNNNNNNNNNNNNNNNNNNNNNNNNNNNNNNNNNNNNNNNNNNNNNNNNNNNNNNNNNNNNNNNNNNNNNNNNNNNNNNNNNNNNNNNNNNNNNNNNNNNNNNNNNNNNNNNNNNNNNNNNNNNNNNNNNNNNNNNNNNNNNNNNNNNNNNNNNNNNNNNNNNNNNNNNNNNNNNNNNNNNNNNNNNNNNNNNNNNNNNNNNNNNNNNNNNNNNNNNNNNNNNNNNNNNNNNNNNNNNNNNNNNNNNNNNNNNNNNNNNNNNNNNNNNNNNNNNNNNNNNNNNNNNNNNNNNNNNNNNNNNNNNNNNNNNCGGAAAUGUCUGUGCCUUAAAUGGGGGCUCGAUAACCUCUUCUCACCGAGGCGCCUUUUGGGGGCAAAACCGUGAGGGAUGGAAAGGGUAGUUCCACCCGGAGCGCCACCAGAGGGUGAACCCCUGGGAGCGGUCGACGAUCCCCGAUUCCCAGAGCGGACAAUAUCUCGGUGAGGACGCAGUCACUUUUCCUGCACGGCUGGUAUGCGGAAUGUUGCCAGGAUGAAAACCCCGCAACACAACAAAAUACGGUAUUUAUAAUCAGAGUGUUAACUGAUCCAAAAACCAUAUAGUUAUCUUGAAGUUCACAAAACCUGGUUGACGAAAAAUAGCCUUUGGUACAAUUUUCACAAUGCCUUAUUAUCUGGCACGUACUUGAACCCUGAAAGAACCUUAUUUGAACAUAGCCAGGUCUUCGUAUAAUCUUAAAUUAAUCUACGUAGCUGUGCCACAAGCUUACAGCCAUGUUUUCGACCCAAAAAAUACAAGGUAGAAAGAAUAGUCAUUGUCCAUGGAUCUAAAUCCUCAGAUCUCCGGAAAAUCAGAAUCCGGAGAGAUACUGAAGACAGGCUUAUCCUUGGCUGCGACGUUACUUGCUACGCUGGUACUGCUGCUCUUCCUCCUUGGCUUUGCCUCGCCCAGCAUCGUGAGUACGUCCCUCAUAGAUGGCCGGUCUUUCGGCAUCUUUGCCGUGCAAAGUACUGCAAUCCGAAGGACUAAAAGCAUCUCCUCUUGAACAUGCUUGCAUUGCCCGCCAACGGUCGGGUCCAGCACUGCUUCGAUCCCUCCGCUAUUUCUUAAUUUCUCGCGUACCCAUCCCACGAUGUCUUGGCACUCGCCAAACUCAGGCUCUAUCGGUCUCUUUCUCGUCAGGAGCUCCAUAAGAACCACUCCAAAGCUAUAGAUAUCACUCUUCUGAUCCACCUUCAGAGUGUAGCCAUACUCUGCCAUUAAUAAAACUGAAAUCAGAACACAGAUCCUCCAACUAUUAACACACGAACAUGGAGUAGAGAACUAAAGAACUAACCUGGAGCAAUGUAGCCGUAAGAUCCGGCGACCAUCGACACGGUCUCGUUCUUCCUCGCCAUCAUCCUUGCAAGCCCGAAGUCGGCGAUCUGUGCCUCGAGGUUUCCGUCCAACAAUAUGUUGUUGGAUUUGAUGUCGCGGUGUAUGAUGGCGGGAUGGCAGUCAUGGUGGAGGUAGGCAAGCCCUUGGGCAAUCCCAGCUGCCACAUUAUACCUCGACACCCAGUCGGCCAGCAUCCGGCCGGCCUGUGGCCCAUGCAGAGCCUCCCAGAGACUCCCAUUGGGCAUGUACUCAUAUAUGAACAUCGUGUCGGUGUCAUUGUGCAUAUAGCCGAGCAGCCUCACUAUGUUGCGGUGCCGGAGCCUCCCCAAUAGGCUCACCUCUCUGGUAACGUCGACUUUGAGCUCUGAAUUCCAUGCCUCGGCCUCCGUCCCUGAACGCCAGAGCUUCUUCACUGCCACCGCCGUAUGGGGUCGCUGCAGCUCGGCCUUGUAGACAAUUCCGGUGGCGCCCAUUCCAAUCACGUUCGACUCCUUGACGCAUGCGAGCACAUCAUCGCUCGUGAAAUUGAGCCGUUGGAAUGCCGUCAGCCUCCACGGCCAUGCGUUGUUCUCUUCGUCGAGCUGCUCCUCGCAGCAUCCGCCAUCGAUGUACCACCUCCUGUAGAGUUGUUGAGCUCCGUAAAGAGUGACGCCAAAGGCGAGGACCGCCAAGAUCCCCGUCAACCACCCGACCAGGAUGUGUUUGAUAUGGGCGCUCUGUCGUCUCCUCGGCGUUGCCCCACCUGAUCCUGUGGCACAUCGGGGUAGUAGUACUCCACCACACAGGCCAGGGUUGCCGGCAAGCUCGUCGGGAUUUAUAGUGCUCAGUAUCCCAUUUGCCGGCACUGGGCCGGAGAGAUUGUUGUAGGACAAGUUCAGUGUCUCGAGAGCCGGCGAGCUCCCGAAGUUUUCCGGGAUAGCGCCUGCCAGGAGAUUGUUGGACAGGUCGAGGAUGGCGAGUGCUGGCAUCAUCGCGAUCGCCUUCGGGAUCUCCCCGGUGAAUCUGUUGCGCUGUAGAUUGAGGUUGACGAGCCUCUGGCACGAGGCGAGGCUCGCUGGAAUGCUUCCAGUGAGGCGGUUGCUGGAGAGAUCAAGGAUGGCGAGCGCCGGGCAAUCUUGGAACUGGUCUGGAAUCCCUCCGGUGAGCUGGUUGUCGGAGGCCAUGAAGCUCUGGAGAGUGGGAAUGGAGAGUACAUUGGAAGGGAGGGCUAAUUGGAGCUGGUUGUGGGAGAGAUCAAUGAAGGAGAGCGACGUGGAGAAGGCGAUGUCAUUUGGAAUCUCGCCUCCAAGCUCAUUGCUCGCCAAUUCCAAUCUCUGGAGCUUCGGCAGCUUCCCGAGCCCGCUCGGGAUCGUGCCAUUGAGCUUGUUGUUCUGCAUCCUGACGCGAACCAAUGACAAGCACGUCGAGAGACUGGUCGGGAUCGGGCCGGAGAAGGCAUUGUUGAAAAGGAUGAGCUUGGUGAGGUUGCCGCCAUUGCAUAAACCAGUCGGGAUCUCGCCGGAGAGUGAGUUCGAUGACACGUCCAGCCACUGCAGCGGCGAGUUGCGGCCGAGAUUUGGAGGUAGGGGCCCGGUCAGCGAGUUGUUCCAGAGCGCGAGCACCUCCAGCUGGGGCAGGUAGCCGAUGCCCGGCGGCACCGGGCCUUCGAGCUGGUUGCACAUGAGGUUCAAGAGCUGGAGGUUCUUCAGCCGGCCCAAUUCCGGCGGCAUCGCACCGGCUAUCUGGUUAUCAGAGAGAUCAAGCACAGCCAGUGCCGACAUGUGCCCGAUCUCCUUGGGGAUCUCGCCUUCCAAAUUGUUCUUGUACAAGUAGAGAGUGGUCAGCAGCUGCAGCUUCCCCAAUUCCGGCGGUAUCACGCCAUCAAGAUUCCCGAAUGCCCCGUCGAGGUAGUGGAGGUUUGACAGGUUCCCGAAUUCAGCGGGAAGACCCCCUUCAAACUCGUUGUAGCCAAUUAUGAGCUUCUCCAAUGAGGAUAGCUCACCGAGCUCCACCGGGAUCUUUCCGGUGAGGUUGUUGCCGGAGAGGCCCAAGAACUUCAGUUUCUGCAGGCUUCUGUAGGAUGCCGGUAUUGGCCCCUCGAAGAAACUCCCUCGGAGAUCUAUGACCUCCAGGGAUGUGGCAUUGGCAAGAUCCUCGGGUAGUCGGCCGACGAAGUUGUUCCCCGAUGCAUUGAGAGCCGUUAGACCGGCGCAUGCGCCAAGACCGGUAGGGAAAUGGCCCACAAGUGCAUUCUGGCUUACAUCGAACUCCUUGAGCAUGGAGAGGCCCGAUAGUGUUUUAGGAAGCGAGGAGGAGAAGAAAUUGCCGCAGAGAUUGAGACGGAUGAGACUGGGGAGGUGUUGGAUAGCGUCAGUGAUCUUGCCACUGAGGUUCAUGCGAGAGAGGUCGAGACUCUCGACGAAGCCCAUUGAAUUGCACCCAACACCCGUCCACUUGCAAUGCUUGGAUUCCUGGUGGUCGGCCGGAGCUUUCCAAUCUUGGAGAGCAUCCAAGGGGUCGAUGAGGCCAGCUUUGAUCGAGAGCAGGGCCGACAUCUCGUCAUUUUCGGCGACAGCAGCACGGGAAAUGGCAACGUCAGAAGAGAAUGCGAAGAAGAAGAAGAAUAACAGUAGAAAAAAAUUAACUUGCAUUUUGCCUCCUCUCCUCCUCCUCCUCCUCCUCCUCUAGCUUUGUGCCAUUUCCUCUAGCUUUUUUAUGUUUUGCUCCUCUGCAACAACGGAAUUGGAGUGGGGAGAGUUGAAAGAGAGGAGUCUAUAUGAAGAUGGCAAGAAGAUGGGUUUUGCUGUCACAGGAAAUGGCAUAAGGCUCUUUUUUUUUGGAUAAUGACAUGACUUUUUUUUAAAUACGUCCUUGAUUGCUCUUCUGUCUUUCUGUUGUUUAAGUUUUUGUUAGCUCGUGAGAUCUUGGGUUCUGGAACAGCUGUUAAUCUACCUUAGGCUUUGGACAUAAGCUAAAAAGUCUUUGGAUUAAUAUAAAUCAUACCCCUAGCAUCAAACAUGGAGAGAAUGUGUUGAGCCCUAUCAUGGAAAUAUAUUUUAAUUCUUCUCUGGUGUGGAGUGGGAGAUUGGAAGGGACAGACUGUUCCUUUGCUUGGGAGAGUUAAACUUCUGCUUUGUUCCUGUAGCUCGAACCUGCUGAUGGGGUGAUGGCUGACACAAAAGAUGUUCGCUUUCAGCCCAAGUAAAUAUAAGGCGUGCAGAAAUUGUACUUUGGGUAUAUCAGAUACAAAUGGCAGAAAGGCUGAGAGUAAACUAAUGGCUGGAUAGUUCAUGCUUGUGAUAGGUUUGCAGCAAAACACCUAGAGGGUACUUAGAUGGUAACAUUUGAUUAAGCUGUACAGAGUUAAAACACUCAAAAAGAGGCUAGCUGAUGAUCAGUCUCCCACAAAUUAUCAUUGUCACAUCUAGCUGAACUCCAGUUUUUCUCAAGUAUGGAUCUUAUCAUUAGAUACAUACAUGGUAGUUUUCUUAGUAAUCCUUCUGUGCUCAUGUACUUCAAGGCCGAAGAAAGGGUGGCCCUAUAUUCUUUUCCUUCAAUUGCAAGAUGCUAACAUAGCUUGCCUUCUGUUCUUCCUUAGCUCAAUUAAAUUGGAUAAGUACUAGGCAGGAUGCUGUCAUAUCAUUCCCAUUUUCUGUUGGUAAUGGCCCUCCGAUUUGCAUUGCUUGUCUCAGUGAAUGCAGCAGUCUAGUUCUGCCUGUUCUUAAUUCAAGUCUCAUGCAGUCCUAGAAAUGACAGAAUAUCUCAUCAUAUAAUCAACAUCAAGUGUUUCUGGGGCACAAUUGGACCUAUUGAUGGUCAUUAUUCAACUUGAAGACCAUCUUUUACCAUUUGGAUAAGCCUCUGAUAUCUGACUUAUCUGGUCUUUAUUAGAAAUCAAUUCACAGAUGUGGGUCUUGUCAGACUGUUAUAAAUCAAUUGUUAGCAAUAAAUUUGGUUGAAGCAGGUGAAUUACUAGUGGCCAGGACAAUUCCGAGAAAGACCAGGACUCAAGUGUCCUUAUCUUCUGAAUCGAGCAAGAUGAUGCCCUGAUGAUAGACUAGUUGAAACAAGAUUUUCCCUAAAUUAAAAGGAUCAAAAUAAUGAUAUAACCAUCAGACCCUUAUAAGGUGUCACCCCUUAGUCUAAUGUGCAAGUAAGUGCUUGGCAAAUCAAGACAAACCAAGACACCGGAAAUGGAGUAGCAAAUAUAGCAAUUCUGACCACAUGUAAUUCGAACACAUGCAUUUCUCAACUAUUGGUAUCCAAGCGCUUCUUUUUUUUCUUUCUUUUUGGUUCACAAACGUUAUUCAUAUAGUUCUCACAUGAGUACAGCCUGCCAAAUCAAAAGCAAAAAAGGUAAUACAGAGGAUGAGGUAUAUCUCCGACCCUGAUUCAAAUCACUCCGCCCGAAUAUCAGGCCACAAAGAAAGUGAUCCAGUCUACCACACUGUUCGCCUUCCGAUGCACAUAUGCUAUCUGGAAGAAAUCUGUCUCCCUGGCUAGACCGCAGAUCUCGUGAAGUAGCGGGUGGUCAUCUCCAUCCGGAUCUUCUCUCCGUAUCCAGUCAACUACCGUGGUAGAGCCCUCCUUUAGUAAUAUCAUGUCGGCUCCAAGGAGGUCCUCUUCACAUAAGACAUGCCCUCCCAGGCAGCCUGCAAAUCCACCUCAAUGACGGCCCGGCCGGUGAUACGUCGCCCUCCAGCUACAAUCAACAUACCCAGAUGAUCUCUAAUCACAAAGUGCAUUCCUCCGUGUGCUCCGUCUGCCAACCAACUACCAUCGAAGUUCACUUUAAAAUGACCAAGAGGUGGGGGUAUCUAAGAGAAGAAGGCAAAUGUGGGCGCUAUGACAGCAGUAUGGGUGUCCGAGAUCCAAACGCUCCUUAAAACACUUUAUGCUACGAGCUGCAUGUAUUUCCUUAUAGUUGGAGCUGUAGGAAAUGCAAACGAAGUCUCCUGCAGUACAAAGUUAACAAAACUACGACCAACCUUAACCGUUGCCUUAUCUUCUAUCACGCGAACCGAAACAAAUAACCUGUAACUGAUGUGCAUCUGGUUUAUUUAGCAAACUGCCAUGAACAUUUCAUCAUGAUUUCCGGAGGAAUCUUUCCAUGUUAUGCCAUGCUUGGAUUUGAGAGAUAACACCUCAGCUGUACUUUCUUUAAUGGAUAAAGAGGAGAAGGCAUUCAACUUGGCCAUUCGACGAGAUGGAAAGCCAGAAAAGCGGGAGAGAUGGGGGGUGGCGAGGCAUCAACAUGCAAUCAUGGAGAGGUGGCCACCGAACCGCACUACCUCAAGCCACAUGCACACAUGGGCCGGACCAGUAUUUAAAUGGGCGGAGAACAUGGGGGCCAUGUGACAGACCACGUGAAGUCCUAUCUAAAGCAUGGCCGCGAGUGAAAGCUUUAAAAUUUAAACCAAGCACGAAUCUUGAAGCUGCUGAGAUUUUGAUGUGCAAUUGGCACACCCACCAUAUGUUAUGUCGAAUUAGUGAAGGGAAAAGCAGCAAAACAUCCUACAAAAUGUUACACUGGUAUGCAGAAUUUGGACUUGUCCCGAUAAAUUAGCCCAACUUCAACCAACCCAAACUCAUUGAGAAUACUCAUGUUUAUAUACAAAAUUGAUGAUAAAAAUCAAACCGACCUGCUGAUAGACAGUGAUCAAUGAAAGCAAAUUCUAUAUGGAAGCAAAUUCUACAGUUGUUUUGCUAAGGCUAUGUCAGUCUGAAUGAAGCUCCUUCCUUUUGGCUUUAUAUCAAUUUAGAAAGUAUGCCGCUAAGUUUAGGACAAUAGCAUUUCGCGUUAGAUUAUUCGGCUAUUAUUAGUUAAUACAAAAGGCUCAGACUAUUUUCCGUCAUAGAGUAGUUAUUUUGGGCAAGUUUUUCGCUUCUCAUCUGGCCCAAAGAUUUUUUUUUUUCCCUUCUAAUUUAUAUUCAUUGUCCUGGGUGCUAUGUUAUACGCAUGCGUGCAUGUAAUUGUGAUAGCAGCAUGGAAUGGGCCAGUGGACAAUUGUAGGAGUCUACGUUGCGAAUUGUUUUUGGGCUUGGGCGUCGAUGUUGGGCCCCGACCACGUAGCCAGCUCUAAGGCCUAGCCAUAGCUUGAUGCACAAAUGUCAAGCCUACAACUAAACACAGCCGCAGUCCGACUCUCUUGUUGGACCACCCAAUCAAAAGCCUAUGGCCCUAUACCCCCAUCUUCGAGUUUUCUCGAGGUGGACUUUGACGGUAGUGUGCUUGAGAAAGAUGGUCAAGGAGGUGCUGGGUUUGUGAUUAGAGAUGCCGACUCUAUAUUGAUCCCAGCAGAGGAGUGCCGACUCUAGAAUAUUUCUGUACUUGGAGUUGAGCUUAGAGCUUCUUGGAAAGGGAUCACUCAUGCGCGGGUCAGAUUGUGGGCAGAGCAUAUCCAUCUGGAAGAGAACUUAGCUACUAUGAUUAGGUGGAUUCAGGGCUACGGCCUACGUGAGAGCACAAAACGAACACCCCCUGCUACAAGACAUCAGAGACCUCUUGAGGGACUAUGGGGCCUUCUAGGUCACUCAUGCUUAUCGUGAGGCAAACAACGCAGUCGAUUGGGUCGUCUCGUUUAUUGUAGAGCACUUUGGCAGCAAGCUUUGUGAGAUCCACAAGUCCGCUCCAUCUCAUCUUUGUUAUUUUCUUUUUCCUAAUUUUUUUUGGAUGUACUGAUAGAAUGGUAUGAUAUAUCCGAUUUACCUAUUAAAAAAAGAAAAGAAAAGAAGAAGAAGGAAGAAGCACUCGACUUUCCACAGCAAAACGAUUUUCUUGAACAAGCCCAGCAAGUCGGGGCGAGGCGGGGUGGUUGGAUAUUCUUACAACAGACGAUAGUGCAUGGACCGGUUGGGCCUCCUUUUCUAUUUAUUUCUCAUCUUAUUUCAUUUAUCAAGGUGGCUUACCAUCAUUUUGCUCAAAAAAGAAAAAAACAAAAACAAAAACAAAAAAAAAUAGUGCUCGUUUUAUUUAGGCUACAGUAAAUUAGUACGAAGAAGAUGAUAGAAAACUUGACCAGAAAGGUACAGGAAUUUCCCUCACACUGGGAGGAUUCGAUUCCUGGUGGUGACAUUUUCAGUAUACUUCUCCCAAAAUAAAAGAAGAGUCCAUUAGGAUUUAAUUAACGAAAAGGGUAGAAAAUAACGUCCCAAUACUAGCUCGAGUAAUUUGCACCGGUAUUGACAAAGUAGGAUGUUCAGAGAGAGAAUGGGUGCAUUCGCAGGUCAGUCCGAGAGGAAGACUAGGAAGAAGAAUAUGAUGAUGAAGAUGUCAAAGUGAAGAAGAAAGAAAACGAAAGAUAACUAUGGUGAACAUGAACGACAACAGUUCUGUAGAAGUUGAAGAGGUUGAUGAGCAUCUUGGUGCCUGGUUUAAGAAUCUUUGGUUUAUUUGAUGACACAAUUUAACAAGUAAUUGGGAUGUUUUUUUUCCAUGUAUUCCAAACGAUCAUGAUGCAUUAGGACUUAUGCUGUAUAUGGAGCAAUAAUCCUUGCAUCACUGCCAUCAUGCAGUGCAUGGGCAGCUGUGAUUGUGAGCUAGAUCAUCAAGCUCAGUCUCUAAACUUGAGAGGAUCUGAAACUCUCCAAUAUCAUCCCUCUCAAUAAUGUUAGCUGAGAGGAUCAAAUCAGAAUAGAAGACCAAGUCAGCACAGAUUGUGUUUCAAAAAACUUAAACUCACGAGUCCUAACCACCCUCAGAUAACAACUCUUGUUUUUUCUUGUUUUACCUUGACCGAGUCUUGUGUAGUAAAUCUCGGGAUAUAUUCUGUAAUUGGUUAUCCCAAUACUCAAUAAAAAACAAGUAUCCACCCACUCUGUUAGUGUGGUGAGACUUCAAAAACCAUCGGUUCUUUGUUUUCUACUUAGUAUCAGAGCAUCUCAAAAUGACUUCCGCAUCUUCUUUGAGUGUUAGCAAUUUUGUAACACUUCGUCUUAAACCAGAAAACUAUCCACUUUGGAGAGAACAAAUUCUUGCCUUAGCUGAGAGUCAAGAUUUGUUAGAUUAUUUAACUGGUGACAUAUCACCCCCUCCAGCUCUACUCCCUGCCACUGGCGAUUCCACUUCAGCGCCCGUUCCUAAUCCAGAAUUCAAAAAAUGGAAGACCACCGAUCGUCUUCUACAANNNNNNNNNNNNNNNNNNNNNNNNNNNNNNNNNNNNNNNNNNNNNNNNNNNNNNNNNNNNNNNNNNNNNNNNNNNNNNNNNNNNNNNNNNNNNNNNNNNNNNNNNNNNNNNNNNNNNNNNNNNNNNNNNNNNNNNNNNNNNNNNNNNNNNNNNNNNNNNNNNNNNNNNNNNNNNNNNNNNNNNNNNNNNNNNNNNNNNNNNNNNNNNNNNNNNNNNNNNNNNNNNNNNNNNNNNNNNNNNNNNNNNNNNNNNNNNNNNNNNNNNNNNNNNNNNNNNNNNNNNNNNNNNNNNNNNNNNNNNNNNNNNNNNNNNNNNNNNNNNNNNNNNNNNNNNNNNNNNNNNNNNNNNNNNNNNNNNNNNNNNNNNNNNNNNNNNNNNNNNNNNNNNNNNNNNNNNNNNNNNNNNNNNNNNNNNNNNNNCACUUAGAAGCACUCCCACAAUGUCAUCAAAGAUCAACUUCUCCGUCGCCGAAGAGUUGCUCACCGCCAUCACCAGGCCCUCCCAGCUGUCAGGCAAUCCGGAGAGGAUUAGCAAUGCCCGAAUCUCAUCGUCAAAACUAAUCUCCACUAACUCCAACUGGGCCGUGAGUCCAUUGAAUUCGUUGAGGUAUUUAGCUAUGCUGCCGCCAUUUUUCAUACGAAGAUUAAACAACCUCUUCAUGAGAAAUACCUUGUUUGAUGCUGAGGGUUUCUUGUACAUCCGCGACAAUGUUGCCAUCAACUCCAUCGUCGUCUUCUCGUUUUUGAUGUUGAAUGCCACUUGGGAUGCAAGUGACAAUCUAAUGGUGCCGAGCGUCUUCCGAUCGAGGACCUCCCAGUCUUCAUCGGACAUCUUCUCUGGUUUCUUUGCUCUACCUCCAAGAGGUAAAUAGAGGUCCUUCUGGUAAAGGUAGUCUUCUAUUUGCAUCUUCCAAAACCCGAAGUUCGUUCCAUUGAACUUCUCAAUUCGCACCUUUCCUUCAUCCGCCAUCGCAGAAAACCAAUAGCUCUGAUACCACUUGUUGUCAGCGAUCCGCACCGGAACCCACUCACACCGGCGCCGCCACCGACGUCGGACAAGUAAAGAGAGAUACGAACGGAUAAGCACUCUCUCGCUCCCUCGACUCCGGACUCAAGGAUCACCUCUUCACUCCGCCUACGAAGGGCAAAAGAUUACCCCGUGGUAUCAGUAGGGUAAAACACUUGAGCACCGCAACGGAUUAUCAAAGAUCAAAGAAAGGAGAAGGAAGAAAAUAGCAAAGCAAACACAAAGAUGUAACGAGGUUCGGCUACAAAUAGCCUACGUCCUCCACCGCUCCAAAUCUCAAUUAGGAUGAACUGAUUACAGAGAUAGCACACACCCGAACGAUCACAAGCGAUCGAUCUACAAGAGAUUCACACAGAAUUCCCUUUGCACAAGAAGUAGGAUCCCAAUCCUCUUCUUCUCUAGAACCCUAGCCUCACAAACAAGAGUCUCUCUCAAAAAUACGGCCAAUCCACCUUACCCUAGGGCUCUCAUGAGUCCUAUAUAUAGUCUCAAGACCUUCAGAUGAUCAUAGCCGUCAAAAUGCCAACAAAAUCCCAAAAGAAAGCUCAUCCGUAUGAUUCCCGCGAGCCCGAGUCGACUCGGCUGAAGUCCGAGUCGUCUCUGGCACGUUUGGACAACUUCAGCUGUAACUGGCACGAUCUCGAGUCGACUCGACACAGGCCUCGAGUCGACUCGACUGUUCCCGAGUCGACUCGACUGUAGCUUGAGUCGACUCUGACAGUCCAGACAGAAACAUGGUUUUUGCGGCUUUUCUCCUCUCGGGUCGACUCGACAGGCCUCGAGUCGACUCGACUGUUCCCGAGUCGACUCGACUGUAGCUCGAGUCGACUCUGACAGUCCGCCAGACAGAACUAUGCAGAAUUGAUUCUCCUUCAAUUCUCUUCAUCACCAAAGGUCUCCACAUACCCCAACACCCUGCUCCAUACCUAUGCAGAUUUUCCUAAAGAGCCACGCAAUGUCAAAAGUGCCCUUUCACAACUAGGUUGGAAAGCAGCGAUGAUUGAAGAGCUGGAAGCCUUGUCUCAAAACAACACUUGGCAACUUGUUCCUAGAAAGUCAUCCAUGAACGUAGUUGGGUCACGUUGGGAAUUUAAAGUCAAGUUGAAUGCUGAUGGUUCGGUUAGUCGGUUCAAGGCACGUCUAGUAGCCAAAGGUCAUCUUCAAGUGGAUGGGAUUGAUUUUUCAGAGACAUAUUCUCCGGUUGUUAAACCUGGCACUAUCAGGUUAGUUCUGACUAUAGCUACUAUCAAAGGUUGGAGUAUAUGUCAAUUAGACGUUAAAAAUGCUUUCUUUCAUGGUUUCCUCACUGAGGAAGUUUUUAUGGAACAACCUCCGGAAUUUCAAGACCCUCAAAAUUCUGAUCAUGUUUGCUUGUUAAACAAAGCUAUUUAUGGAUUGAAGCAAGCACCUCGAGCAUGGUUUAAUCGCUUCAGUUCUUUUCUUCUUGAAGUUGGUUUCAUAUGUAGUACAGUNNNNNNNNNNNNNNNNNNNNNNNNNNNGGCUGCAGGGGUCUUAGUGUUAUUACUUUAUGUGGAUGACAUAAUACUAACGGGAUCUUCCUCUUCUCUUAUUGAAACAUUUACAACCACCUUACAUAAGGAGUUCGCAAUGAAAGAUUUAGGUCUCCUGCAUUAUUUCCUCGGUAUUCAAGUCUCUGCAGUUUCGGAUGGCAUUAUUCUUCACCAAAGUAAAUAUGCUGUGGACAUUCUGGAGCGUGACUUUAUGCAUGAAGCAAAACCAAUUGCUACGCCAAUGUGUCAAAAAUCAAAGCCUGACCCGCAGUCCUCUCCUUAUAAGGAUCCCCAUCAUUAUCGGUCCAUAGUGGGAGCUCUGCAAUAUUUAACUUAGACACGUCCAGAUUUAUCUUUCUCUGUUAACUAUGUUUCCCAGUUCAUGCAGGAACCAACUAAUUCUCACUUCACUAUGAUUCGACGCAUUCUCAGAUAUAUAAAGGGUACAGUGCAUCUCGGCAUUCACAUACAAGCUUCAAGUUCUUUGAAAUUAUAUGCAUUUUCAGAUGCUAGUUGGGUGGGGUGUGCAGUCCCUCGUCAUUCAACAACCGGAUACUGUACGUUCUUGGGAAGCAAUAUUAUUUCAUGGUGUGCAAAGAAACAACCUACUGUUUCUCACUCAAGUUCUGAAGCUGAAUAUCGUGCAAUGGCACAUGCAAUAGCAGAACUCACAUGGCUUACGUUCCUAUUCAGAGAUUUACACAUUCCUCUGUCACAAGCACCCGUGUUAUACUGUGAUAACUUAAGAUCUUUGUUGAUGACAGUAAAUCCGGUGUUCCAUGCCCGCAUUAAACAUAUCGAACUUGACUACUAUUAUGUUCGAGAAAGAGUUGCACUGGGAUUGCUUGUUACACAUCACAUUCCAACUCAUUUACAGUUAGCCGAUGUAUUCACUAAACCGCAGACACGUGCUAACUUAGAGGAAUUACGACACAAAUUGUGCCUAGUUACCAUGCACAAUUUGAGGGGGGAUGUUAACAGAGAGGAUCAAGUCAGAAUAGAAGACCAAGUCAGCACAGAUGGUGUUUCAAAAAACUUAAACUCAUGAGUCCUAACCACUCUCAGAUAACAACUCUUGUUCAUUCUUGUUUUACCUUGACCGAGUCUUGUGUAGUAAAUCUCGGGAUAUAUGCUGUAAUUGGUUAUCCCAAUACUCAAUAAAAACAAGUAUCCACCCACUCUGUUAGGUGUGGUGAGACUUAAAAAAAACCAUUUUUUCUACUUUAGCCAAAUCAAGUGAAAGUAAACAGGACAAUGGGUUUGGAAUACAAGCUAAGCUUGUCUAGACAAACUUCCCAGUAUGCCGAGCGAUAUAUCAGGCGAUCCAGUUGGCUGCAUUAUUUGUCUCCCUGUACACAUGAGCUAUCUGACAGGAAAACAGCUCCCUCAAUAAUCUGCGUGUGUCCCGUAUCAGCGGAUGACCAUCCCCGUACCUGUUUGCUCCUAGGAUCCAGUCGAUCACCAGGGAGGAGUCACCUUCUAGGCAUAGGCAGUCGGCCUCCAGCACCCGUCUUGCAUAUAGAAUACCCUCCUAGGUUGCCUGUAGUUCCGCUCCCACUGCAAUCAGACCUAGGGUGCUUCUUCCUCCUGCUGCAAUCAAUCUGCCCCCAUGAUCCCUUAUCACAAAGCCCACUCCUCCAGAAGCACCAUCCUCUGCCAUGCCUCCAUCGAAAUUUACCUUAAGAUAACCAGAAAGUGGGGGUAUCCAAGAGAAACAGAUAAAUCUGGACGCUGAGACAGCGGUGUAGGUACCCCAGAUAUCCCUAGCCCUCCCAGGUAAUGACGAUGAAGCCAAACAAGUAAUCUCUGCCACAUGCCGCAUUACUCUAUCCAUCACGGCUCGUGGAGACGACCUCCUGCUCUCAAACACGCGAUCGUUCCUGUCCAACCAUAUAUGAUAGGACACAUAAGCAGACACAAUCCCGGUCUGUGCAGUACUCGGCCUCUAGAAAGAAACACUCAGAUACCUGAACAUGUCCUCCACAAUCUUCCACAGCGAAGAAAGAGGCACUGGUAAGCAUCUCCAGGUCUGCACAACUGUAGGGCAACAUAGAAGAACUUGGCUGAUGGUCUCCUUAACAUCAGGGCAUAUCUCACAUGUUGAGGUCAUCCGCAUCUCUCAUCUAGCAAGCACACUCCUGGUCGGGAGCCUACCCCAGGCCACCUUCCAAUGAGAAAGUGCCACCCGCAGAUGCACCUUCAUCCCCAGAUCCAUGCUCCAUCAAUUGGCCUAUUCGGCUCCUUGGUGGUCCAUGCAUGAAUAUCUAUGGCGCGCACCCUUGUCCGACCCGUCAGCAUCCAAAUCAAUCUAUCUAGCUCCUCCCGUAGAAAAUUGGUAAGGCCAAAAUCCUCUCCACCAGUUGCUCCCCAAAAGCCUUCCGGAUCAAUCCCUCAUUUCAUCUUCCCUCACCUGGAACAAGCAAAUCGCAUAUCUUGUGUCCCACCAGCCUGCCCGAGUCCACCAUAGUCGGUAGUGUACUAAUCGGUAGCUCAGUCAUCCAGCUAUUCUCGAUUAGAGGUCCCAUCCCUGAUAGCCCAUCGUAUCGCCGGAAGCACCAAAGAGGCUCUAGCACACAUCUCCCUCUAGAUGGGGGAGUGGCAUCGACCUACCCGAACACCCGGCCACAAAGUAUCAUACUUGGCCCUCAUCAAGGAGGACCAAAGACUGUUAGGCUCCAACAAGAAACUGGUUGCAAGUUGCGUCACUGAUGCCUCCUGUCUCGCCACCAGUGAUGGCACGCCCAAACCGCCAUGUUUGACCGGCUGACAUAUUGCCUCCCAUGCCACCAGAUGGAUACUGCCUUUGUCACCAUGCCACCCCCAAAUAAAAUUUCUAAUGAGUUGCUCAGCUGACCUUAACACCGACACAGGAACAAUGGAGUUGGACAAUAGGUAUAUCGAAAUAGAAUAGAGAACUGACCGUGCCAAAGUGACCCUGCCCAUCAUGGAUAGAGAAAGCAUCUGCCACCCCUAAAUCCUAUGUUUGAUACUGAGCUCAAGAGUCAAACAUUCCCCUCUAUGCAGUUCGCCGUCUAGAAAUCGGCACACCCAAAUAUCUCACCAUAUCAACAUGCUCACCUACUCCUAUUAUCUCCAUAAUCUCAGCCUUCACAGGAGGCUUGGUUUUCGGGCUAAACAGAUGGUAGACUUGGCCAAAACACUAUCUUCUUCUUUAAAUACUUGUCAAUGCCUUGUAGUGGAAGAGUGCAACAACAAGAUCGUGGUCCUCGAGUCUCCCUCAACCUCUUCAUCAUCUUUCUGUAUGGAGAUAGCCUCAGUGAUAGCAUCGCUGGCCAUAGCAGAAGGGACUACGUUCGGGUGGUCGUGAGCUGAGGAAGAGGAUAUGCAAACGAGUUUUUAGAGAUACGACGCUCGCUUUAGCCUCGUGGAAGUACCGACAACCAACAACCUCAGAGGUGCCGGCAUCCGAGAGAAGGGGAGGAGGGGAAGGACUAGGAACAAGAAGCAAAGAGGGUGGGUUUGUUUUUUUGAGUAUUUCAUUUUUUUUUAUUAUGAAAAAUUAUAAGGGCGCCUCCUCAACUUAAAAAAUUUUAAAUGAAUUUUUUAAGUUUCCAAAUUAUUCAAAAUUAAUCCUGUUUUUCAUCUUUAGUGGUAUAUAACAAUCACAUUAUAGAAAAAAAUUAUUGUAGGACAUAACUACUCUUGGUUGAUAUCAGGUGAUCUCUAUAUUUCCCUCUUCAUUCUCUCUUUUUCCUCCCAAGUUUUAAUCCAUUUUUUGCUGUAAAAUUCUAAAAGAAAUCUCCAUUAGAUCACCUGAUCCUAAAUGCAUCUCGUGUGGACCAAAAAAAUUAGAUUUUGCUCAUUAAUUCUGAGGGGGAAGGUCCUCUCUACAUUGCUAUCUCUUCGCUGCAGUAAUAGCCCUCGUUGAUGUAGUAUUGAUUCCCUUCUUUGUGAGUCUAUGAGCUCGUUUGAUUCGCGGGAAAAGAAGAGGAGAAAAUGUGGUCAACGGAAAAGUAAUGAGAUGCAUCUUGUUUGGUUGGAGUUUUCAAAUGAGAGAGAUGGAAAAGUUGUAUUCCCAUUGGAAUAUGAUUCUCACAUUUUAUAGAAAAGUCUUUCCCAUGAGAAAUAUAGAAAAAUUACUUUUCUAUGAGAUGGGAAUCACUCCAUUUUUAUUUUUUUCAAAAAGACCCUUCAGCAUUAAAAAAGCAUUAAAGAGGCUUUUCUAUGAGAUGGGAAUCAGAUAUUGUUUUGUUUUUACGCCAAUGNNNNNNNNNNNNNNNNNNNNNNNNNNNNNNNNNNNNNNNNNNNNNNNNNNNNNNNNAAUAGGAAUUAUACAUAACUUUCUCAGGAAAGUGGAUGGUCAACCAAACAUAAGCAUUUUGAAAAUCUGUCACUUUCCCAUGAUCAACCAAAUAUACCAAAAGUACUUUUCUAGGCAUACUAUUUCUAGGAAUCUGCUUUACAGAAAUCAUAUUCUUAGGAAGGAAAAUGUUUCCUGCGAACCAAACGAGCCCUAUAUUGGAACAAGGGUGAGUCUCCAAGGCCUAAUUGCUUCUUAAAUUACGUUAAAUCUCUAUGUAAGUCCUGUUUUUCUUGUGCUUCUCUUCUUUUUCAAGGCAUUUUGAUGAUUGCAAUGGGAGCAACCUGAGAAUUUGAAUAGGAUUCGUGUGGAAAAAUUUGAGCUUUUGGAUGCUCUGUUUGUGCGUAUUGUGGAAUUUUGGGAUUUGGGUUUGGAGCUUUCCUGUGAUAAACUAAAGGAAAGGAUUUAUGAAUGAUUUCUUUUACAUUAUCAUCGAAUUUUUAUUUGACGGAUCUAAGAUUUAGUUGUCAUUAGAAUCCGUCAAACUUCUCGUCUACAAUUAUUCUCCUUUUUCUACGGCCUUUCUCCCCUUUUUUUUGAAGCUUCUGGCGAUGGAAGAAUACCUAGGAUACAAUUCUAGUGGAAAAACUAAAGCUUGGUUUCCUUGUAAUGUUAUUGUUAAAGAUUGGAUUUUUAGAACGAUGACUUUGAAAAUCUCUAGUUUUGUUCAAUUUUGGUUUGGGACCUCGGGCUUGCAUGAUUGCAUCGGACAAAAAAAAAAGAAAAAAGAGUUGACUGGUCAGCCCAGACAUAUUUUAUAAAAUUAUCGCCAAAUCCAGGCCGGAAAACAUCUAAAAGUCGUUGACGACGACGGUUGACCUGGAUCAUAAAGAACUGGAUUCGUGGAGGAUCGCGAUUGGAAACGAUUGAAUGGCUCCGGCAUGUCUUAUCCAGCUUCGUUCACCUCCGAGUCAUCGGCGCCGUUCACCUCACCUAUGGGAAAGCCUCUGCCUCUUGGCCUCGGACACCUGCUCCCAUGGCUUUUGAGCUUCCUGCUGCUCCCCUCUCCAUCCCUUGCCGAUGUCGGCACGGCCUCAUUCUACGGACCGCCGUAUCUUCGUAAGUGCCACCGCCGCCCAGAAAAAACCACCGCCAUCUCUCUCUUUUGUGCUUGAUCGUAUCGUUCUCUCUCCAACAGCUACUGCAUGCUACGGGAGCGACGAGGGCCAGUUCCCUGCGGACAAUCUCUACGCGGGCGCCGGGGAGGGGAUUUGGGACAAUGGCGCGUCCUGUGGGAGGGUGUACCUGGUGAGAUGCCUCAGCUCAGCCACGCCGGACGCGUGCGUCGAGGGCCAGACGAUCCAGGUGGUGAUCCUCGAUCGUGCGGCCACUCUGAAUUCGAUACCUUCGACGAACGGGACCACUAUGGUUCUCUCGAGCCCUGCUUUCGGAAUGAUAACCCAACAGUCGGUAGAGGUGAUCAACAUCGAAUUCACACCGUAAGAUCCUUCUCCCCCUUUUCUCCUGUUUGAUAAAAACAGAGUAUUUCCGUAUUCUUACCAUGCUACGAGGCUCUUUUGUCUUGAGUGCUCAUCUCCAUCUCCCCUGCUACCCGAGAAUGCAUUAAUGUUCUUCUCAGAGACCUGAUAACAUCCAACCAAUCACUUAACAUCCUCCGUCCUGAAUAAUCUCCGUCCUGAAUCAUCACACAUAGGCAAGUCUUCGCUCAUCGAGUGGAGUUUGGCUAUAUGACCCUACUUGUCAUCAGUCAAUAUUUAAAGCCAGACCCUGUUAACAUCAUCCCUUGCCCUUCGCCUUUUUUUUUCUUUAAUCUCUAUAUUUUAGUUCAUACCUUCAUAUAGGCCUUUUUUUGUUAUGUUGUAUCAAAACAAAAAGGCGUUAUUCUAAGAUUUUUGUUUUUUGGGCAAAUUCAUUAUUGUAAGGUUGGCGUAAUUAUAGGAAGUCUUUAGAUGUGAAUCGUCAUGCAACUCUAGCUGCACAGCCAUCAGCUUUCGCUGCUGGAUCCCUUGUGCUGAUUGCAAUGACGCUAGUGAAACAGAGUGCAUUAGCCACCGCAUUGCACUGGAUUAGAAUUUCUUUUUAAUUAUUUUUAUUAUUUAAGGAAAUGCACCUGCGAGUUAUAUUUGUGCUAGAAGGAGCUUUAGUUUUUUUUUUAAAAAAAAAAAGAAAACAAAGAUGAGGAGUGAUGUCCUGGUAUUCUCUAACAAGCACAAAGCCAAAUCCAGGUUAACCCCAUGUACCUAAGUUCCAGCCGCCUGAAGAAAGCUACUCUGGCUAAUAUUUGUAUAACUAGUUGCGAUUCAACGGUCUGGUAUUAUUUAAUAAUAUCUUAUUGUGAGGCACCGUGAGAGUCUCAAACUUGGUGCUGCAAAGAUUAGUGCAACCAUGUUACGUAGAAUCCUUUCUUAUCUAAUGCUGACCUUUAUCUCUUGAACUGUUUCUUUCUUUUCUUUUUCCACUUGUUUGCCGUUCAUUCUUGAGAUUGUGGUGCUAUAUGUACAACACUGAAUGUUGUUUUAUUUUGCAGUAUUUGACAGCCGCCAGAGAUCCCAAGAUCAGACCAAUUUUGAAGCAUCGUUAAAUUAAUUUAAUGUUUCAGGAAAAACAACAAAAGAAAGUAUAUUUUUCUUUCUUUUUUUAUUUUUUAUUUUUUUGCUAAAGAAAAGUGUAUUUUUCUAGUUCCUGAAUUGUGCGUAUGUUUUUUCCCCCUUUCAACUAGGUCAUUUUUAUUUCUUCUUCUAUACUUUCUUUGCUUUGUAAUGCUCUUUUUCCCCUUCAAAAAAUGCUUCAACUUGAGCGUUAUUGUUUCCCUUCGUCUCUCUUUCCUCUUUUUUUUUUAUAUUUUUUUAUAAAAAUUUAUAUAAACAUAUAUUCUUUCGGUUAACUAUUUUAAAUGAGAUCCUAGUUAGAUUGCCACACUCUUUCUCUCGCAAUUCGCUUCUGAUGUGCCUUUCUUUCGUUUGGUUAAUAAAGUCGCCGGACCCUCUGCUCCUCUCUUCCCCCCGCCCCCAAAAAAAAACAAGGGAUGGGAAAGAACCUUGCGUCUCGAGCCUGCCAAGAGUAAACGGGAUGCGAGUCGCUCAUAUUGCGUGGUGUCUUGUCAUUGCUUUCUUUUGAAUGGGCAUCGUCAAAUGUGCCACCGAGACAGGCAAAGUGAUUGGUGCAAAGCGAUUUUUUUUUCUGGGAGAACGUAGCAUCCGUGCAUCCGAAUGAGUGCGGUUCUAUUUGAUGCGGUCGUUUUCGGUUCUCAAGGCCUUCAUCCAUCAUGCUUUUCAGGUUCCAUGAAAGAAACAAAAUCUAUCAAAGCUAAACCGGCCGCCGGUGCAGCCAGGUCAAGUAGGCAGGUACAAAUUGGCUAUUCUCCACACGGCAUGAGGUCAAGGCGUGCUCGAUACGGCGGCAUUUUUUCGCCCGGAAAGGUUCGGAGGAAGCGUUGAACAACGGAAGGCAGAUGUUUCUUGGAAGAUUAAAGGACUUAGGAAAAUUCUAUCCUACGGACAAUGUACAUGCCCCAUCACAGUUUGAUGAUGGUGAUGACACGGGUCUCCAGAUUUUUUUGGAAACUGAUCUCAAACGGCAGGAGAAGAUUUUUUUGGACGUCAUGCAUUGCUGCAUGAAGAUUUGCGCGUGCCGAUGGGACACGGCUGUAUUUUCCGUGCAAAAGAUUUGCUUCAAGAUGUAUGCAGGUGGUGAAUAAAAUAAAACUGGACGUAUUUUGAGAUCCGUGCAGAUCACGAUCUGAUGGGCGACGUCUCAUUCUUUUGUGUCAGUGAUACAACCACAAUUCGUGCCGAUAGCACCGUAGAUGAUAAGCGGUUAAGUCCCCUUUGCGCAAAUGCACACCUUAAAAGCAAGAGAGAUGGUGAAUGACAAGGGUUUGUUCGGGGGUGCUGUGAUUUUGUGCUGCUUUUCCAUAAAUUAGUGAAAUAUUGUAGGGAGAUUGGCGUUGAAGAUAGCAUUUGCAUUUUUUUUUUUUGUUUCAAACCAAUAAAUCUCUGCUACCAAAUAUAUCUUAAGAUUUUAUAAAUAAUUUGAAAAAGAUAAAUAUUUUCUAGUUCAUGGAUUUUUGAAAAUAAAAAUAGGAAAAACUAUAAAGCACUACUAAAUGAGUCCUAAGAAACUGGAUUUUGAUGCGUGCCAUCUUGUCCCCAUGCAUGCAUCUGAGUAUCUUUAUAACCAUUUUUAUAGACAUUUAAUUGUAACCUAUUAUAAUGCUCAAAAUGCACAUGACCACUACUAAAAAUUACAUGUUUUGAGAUUUAUUUUAGUAGCUAUGGUCUUGAUUUAAUUAAAUUUGAUAUUUCUGCAGAUGUUGGAGUUUUAUUAUGCGCAAAAUCAUAAAAAUGCUGGCUUCAAAGGAGUUUUCCCCUCAACUGGCUGUUUAGUUAUCUCUAAGUUUUUUAAUAUAUAAUCAUAAAAAUAUGAUUUCCUGAAGCACCUUUUAUGGAAAACAAAAAGGAUUUUGUUCGUAGCAGAACUCAUUUUUUUAAGUUUUAUGACUUAGCCAAUUUUAGCCGAAGGAGUUUUACAGAUAGCCCUCAUGCUCAUUUUCUUUUAUAAAAAAAAUUGGCAUACUUUAAAUUAUUGAGAGAGAUCUAAUCAAGGUCAUUAUGGGAAUUGUAAAAGAAAAUAUAAAGUAUCUAUUUGCGAUCGUUCAUAAAAUUAUGGAAAUCCCAACUUUAAGGGGGAGUUCUUUAUGAGGCUCCUUCUUCUCAAAGUGUAAUAUGAAGAUUUCUUUAUUACUAUUAUAACGUUUAGUCAGAUUUAAAUCACUGACUAGGAUCGAUCAUUGGGAAAUUCUAAAGUCGGAAAAGAUAGCUUCUUUUAUGCAAAGUCAAGUCUCCCAUACUCAUAAACUUUAAAUGGAAGAGUUGCAAAAGAAUUACACAAAAAGCUAUCUAUUUUUCCUUCUCUAUAAAAUUUAUGACCAGCGCGUUGCAAUAAGAAAACUUACUUGGUACCGUACCAUAUACUCCAUCAAAGUCUUGUAUGCCUCAUAUGUCUUGACAGGAGGUCAUCUAAUCCUAUAAGGUAUGCAAGUUACAUUAGUUGUGAGCCCCUUGCAACUUACCAGCUAAAUUCCAAUAUAUUAACCAACAUUUAGGUGUUUUUGUUAAUUGUAGGAAGAGAUAAAUAAAUAGAUAAAUAUUUUUUUAACCAAAAAAAUAGAUAGAUAAAUAAAUCAAUUAAUAAAUAAUAAAUGAAUCAAUUAAUUAAUUAUUGGAAAUAAACAAAAUGAAAGAAUAGCAAUGUCUUAAUCAAAAUUUUAGGUGACGAAUCUAAAAUUAAUGAACUACUAAAGGUGUCAAACUCAAAUCAUCAAACUGAGAACUCAUCUAAUUAAUGAACCUAUAUUACAAGCAUAAACUCAGAAGAAUUCCCCUAGCGUAUGUUCAUAAAUCCACGAUUUGCGUUCUCUUUUGCUCGCAUAGUUAACUCAUGAUGAGAAAUGAAAUUAGAAUAGGGGAAAAAAUUGUAAUUUUCGAAUCUAUUGGGCUUAAUAAGCAAACAAGUAGAUACUACAAACGAGUACUCUAAGUGGACCCAAUCCUUUUCUUGGGCCCGGCCGGCAGCGCCGGCCAUCGGGGGGCCCGUUUCCCUACAAGAUCCGUCCAUCAAGACCGUGCAUCAACGCGAAAUGUCGGACAGUCCAAACUUUUUGAUUGGAGGCCAGGGAUCGACGAAAUCCCAGCCCUCAGAUAGUCCGAUCAGCGAGGCCCGGGGGGUGUACCCAAUGUCGCAGCCGCGUCGCGUUGCGAACUCUACGCCGCCCCACCGCACGUUAGAAUUCUAUGGGCGACGCGGUCCUCUUCUCCACUCUUCCUUAUGCGUCUUCUUCUUCCUCUUAAGCUCCAUUUCUCUCCCCCCUCCAAAAGGAAAAUCUUGGCAGCUCAUCGUUAGAUAAAUCUCGAUAUUUCCCCAAUAGAAAGGUUUGUUUUCUUGGAUUUUUCUUCAUUUUGUUUCUUCUGAAGUCCGAUGCGAAUUUAGAGAGAAUUAUGGCGAUUAAUUUCUUUAUCCUGCCUCUGACUUGAUGGUCUGUCUCGUGGGUUCUAGGGUUUUAGGGUUCGAUGGAGAUGCAGGUGGAGUCGGAGGUGCAGCGGGACGGGGAGCCGAAUCCGAAGGAUUCCGACCCUCUCCUCGAGAAGAAGGACGACUCGUCGUCGGGGACUUCGGACGAGAUAAAGGACGAGGAGAUCGAGGCUUCUUCCUCUGCGUGCUGCCGUAUCUGCCUCGAGAACGACUCCGAGCCAGGUGACUUCAUUUUACUGGCUUCUCAGAUGAUCGCUUCUUUUGAUUUUAGGUGGUUUUCUUUUUUGUUGGUUGGAGCUUCUGUAAUUGACGUCUUGACUUCUCGGAUUUGGGAUUUCUUCGAUAUUUCUUUUCUGAAAAUACUCAAAUUUCGAUUUCAAUUCAGCAAUUUAUGGUCAGCCCAGUUAUUCGUUAGGUUUGUGCCUUUCAUCAAUUGUCUUCUGAGUCCUUGACUAUGAAAGUGUCGGAUGACAAAUUGAGUGCAUGCGCAAAAUGCGAACUCUACGAACUGUAAGAUGUCAUGGCUGCUUGCCAGCAUCAGUUGCAUGCGAUGAUAAAGGAAGAAUACAAAACCCCUCAAUUCUUUAGCCUUAGAUCAAUUUGAACAUCUCUUUGCUGCCAACUUUGAAUAUGUGGAUUAUGACAUCAAUAAAGGUUUUAUUGUCUAGCAAAGAAUAGUAGAAAGAACUUGUUGUACAAACUGACAACUUACUUCUUUUAUCAUCGAUGCCGGCUAACUAGGUUUCUUUUUUGGAAUGGGGAAUAACAAUUGUUUUGUGGUGACCCCUUGAUGAUAAUCGCCUCUGCUUCAUGGCUGGACCCUAUAUUGGAAAUGUAUCUCAGUUGGAAGAGGGUGUGCUGCCAACAAAAUUGGGCCACUAGAACAAUGUGUUCGUGGUGAACAAUUAGGGAAAUGUGGUGGAAGGCCUAACCGUUGCAUAAGCAGACAGCAUGGCUGGAAACUGUAGGAAAUUUAGACCAAUCUAGAAUUUUGGCUGAAUUCUUGAUUUCACCUUUAUAGAGUGCUAGAGUUGUUCCAGUCUGUUGCAUCACCGGCUUUGGUAUUUCGUGCUUCUUAUCCUUGUUGGGACCCUUAAUAGGGUAAUUGUGGAUGUGUUGGAAAAAUCUCUAGGAACCAUCUUGUGAUCCAAUCGCCAAAUUUAGAGUUUUAUACUAAUGAUAGUUCAUUAGUCUGAGUUGUAUUUUGCUUUUGGUAAACUAUAUAAACCUAUCCUAUCCGUGGAAAGAAAUCUAAAAUGGUAUAAAAUAAACAGAGCCUUUUUAAAUCUCAUUAAUGUGUUCUGAAAGUGCGAAAAAAUAUGACCUUGUUUAAGUAGUUGAUCCCGGUAGGGCUUUCAUGUUUUUUUUUCUUCUAAGUCUUCUGUUUCAUAUUCAAUCAACAUCUCAUGAGAAGCCUACUUAUUUUCAUGACUUUACCAAGGUGGAAGUCAGUGCCUUUAUGAGGAAACAUGUAUUUAAUUUUGUUAUAUCCUUAUAAUUGUCAGGUUAACAUAUGUGCAUGUCUCUUUGUGCAAUAUGUUCAUGUAUUUAUGCUUAUUGGUUUUGACCUUUUAUUUAGUUCCAUCUGUCUUGCCAAUGGAUAGCUAAAACUGAAGAGUAAUUUGGGACAGAUGAAGAUAGAUAUAGAUUGUUAGAUCAAGGGCAGUCAGAGGUUUGCAUCUCUGCUACUAACAUAAUGCAGUGGUGUAGAUUUUACAGAUAACAUAAUGCACCAGACACUCCACUAAUUUCUGCACAAGCACGAGGCUAGGCGUCAAGGGGGUAAGAAUCUUAUUAUGACUUAUAUUGCAUUAGGUACCGUACUUGAAGCCAGCCUUUUAUAGAGCUUUCAAAGGUCGUGCUGUUGCCUCUUUUUUUUUGUGGCUAAGACCACUUUAUGAUAAGAACAUGCCAUUUCCCUGUUAAGUGACUGCUUUGCUUCUGAGGAACUACAUAUUGUAUAAGUGUGACAUACUGUAGCAGUUGGCAGUUAAUAUCAUCAUUAAAGUUAGAUGACAUAUGUUAUUGUUACUUUGGUGUAGGUGAUGAGUUAAUAUCUCCAUGCAUGUGCAAAGGCACUCAACAAUUUGUUCACCGUACAUGCCUUGAUCAUUGGCGCUCAGUGAAGGCAAUUUUCUUCCUUGGCCUUUUAUUAUGUUAAAACAUUGUGUAUAUGUAUUUGCAGAUAUCAGCAUGCCAUAUUACUCUUCAAUUUGGCUAUUUUGCACCUAAGGUUUUAAAAGGCAAAAGACAGAUAUAAGGUGGUUCUAACCUGGUGAUAUGAGGUGUAAGCCUGGGGAUGGCUUGAGCAAUGUCUUAUUAACUGUAAUUAAAUUGUUAAUACAAGCACCUUAAAAUAUUUCUAGGUGGAACAUAUUAUGAUGACCUCUACUCACAAUACCAGAGGUCCAAUGGAUAACAGGGUUUUCGACCCAUAUGGAACAGAAAAUCUAAAGUAGGGAUAAAGUACGGUUAAUAACAAAUGAUCAAGGGAAUGUUUAAGUAUUGUGAUAUAUUGUUUUCUUAUUACUAAAAAUACCAGUUCAUCAGUAUUUUAUCAGAAUGGUUGUAUAGAAUAAUGAUAGAGUAAAAUAUGCAGGUAGCAUGGAGCAUGCCAGCAUUAUAACUGAUGUUUGAACGAGUAGAAACUGGAUGAAGGAUGAAGUUGAGAGGGGUUAAAUUGUAGUAAUAUUAUAUUUGAAAUGUAGAUGGUACUAAUAGAAAUAUUUUUAAAAAAGGGUGAACUUUUGCAAAUUUUGUACCUGCCUCAUGGAACAACCAGUAAUGUGUAAACUUGAGCAACCUGUACUAUCUUGUUUCUUCCCAUCUUCAAGAUGCAGAUAAAACAAGGGCUUUGUUGCUGUCAUAGCUAUGGGUUUCAGAAAGGGUGGGCAUCAUGGGAUUUGGAAGUUUACUGAUUGAUAGGAAAACAACUUGAACUGGUUGAUAAGCAAAUAGCUUGAAAGCAUACUUAUCCCAAUAUUGAUUCUUACAGGUCCCAGGCUAUACUCCUUUAUUGAGAGUCAUGUGCCUAGGUCCAGUGAGGUGGUGGUGGUGCCUAGCAGCCAUAACAACCUUGUUAAGCUGGAAAGCAUUUUUCUCCCGACUUGCUUAAGGCGGUGGGUUUAAAUAACUCUUAUAUUUCAUCAAUCAUUGUACUAAAAAAAGAUCAGAUCAUUGUCAGCUAUGAACUUUGGAAUAUACCAUGGAGGUACUAACACCUUUGGCCCCCAAAAUACUUUUGACUGGGAAAAAAAAUCUGUACAUUAGUUGAUCCCAUACCCCCCCCCCCCAACCGAAAAAAAAAGAAAAAAAUCAUGUAAUUUUGUUUGACAUCAUGGGAUGCGAAGAUGUUUCAAUUCCUAAUAAAACACGACUAUUAGACAGUUUCCAUUCAUGGCAUGAUCUCUGUCUGCACGUCUUCCCCUCCCCCCAACUUCCCUUCCCCUCCCCUUCCUUCUUUACAUUUGAUAUCCUCUUUGCUCAACCCUUGGACAAGUUCCAUUCUUGAUAGAACUUGACUUAUAAAUGGUUUCUAUUCUCAUUUGUCUCUAUUUUAUAUCAUAGGUUUCUGAAAUUGACCAUCUUAAUUGAUAAAUGCUUCAUUAAUUUAACUUGAGUUUAGAUAUGGUUGCUGUGAGGCCCAAUAGUCCCACAUCGGAAAGACUCGUUCCAGAGCCUGGGCAUAUGAGGCGGGUGUCUCCAAAUCCUGCAGACGCGUUUUGGGUGGAAAACAAAACC